RNAcentral lists this ribosomal RNA (800 nucleotides) under uncultured bacterium. RNAcentral describes it as "bacterial SSU rRNA". It matches the Rfam family "Bacterial small subunit ribosomal RNA", at positions 8 to 837 of the family's 1533-position model. The record is from RNAcentral.
AGAGUUUGAUCCUGGCUCAGAAUCAACGCUGGCGGCGUGCCUAACACAUGCAAGUCGAACGAGAAAGUGGUAGCAAUACCAUGAGUAAAGUGGCGCACGGGUGAGUAACACGUGACUAACCUACCCUGGAGUUCGGAAUAACCUCGGGAAACCGGGGCUAAUACCGAAUGACACCGAGAGGUCAAAGGAGCAAUUCGCUCUGGGAGGGGGUCGCGGCUGAUUAGCUAGUUGGUAGGGUAAUGGCCUACCAAGGCGACGAUCAGUAUCCGGCCUGAGAGGGCGCACGGACACACUGGAACUGAAACACGGUCCAGACUCCUACGGGAGGCAGCAGUGGGGAAUUUUGCACAAUGGGGGAAACCCUGAUGCAGCAACGCCGCGUGGAGGAUGAAGGUCUUUGGAUUGUAAACUCCUUUCGAUCGGGACGAUUAUGACGGUACCGGAAGAAGAAGCACCGGCUAACUCUGUGCCAGCAGCCGCGGUAAUACAGAGGGUGCAAGCGUUGUUCGGAAUUAUUGGGCGUAAAGCGCGCGCAGGCGGUCCUUUAAGUCUGAUGUGAAAUCUCGCGGCUCAACCGCGAGCGGCCAUUGGAAACUGGGGGACUUGAGUGCAGAAGAGGAAAGCGGAAUUCCACGUGUAGCGGUGAAAUGCGUAGAGAUGUGGAGGAACACCAGUGGCGAAGGCGGCUUUCUGGUCUGUAACUGACGCUGAGGCGCGAAAGCGUGGGGAGCAAACAGGAUUAGAUACCCUGGUAGUCCACGCCGUAAACGAUGAGUGCUAAGUGUUAGAGGGUUUCCGCC